UCGAUUACACGAAAGCUUACAGAAUUUCGAGAACAACGAUCGCUCAAGAUAUAAAAUCAAAAAAAUGUCGAAAAUAAUUUUAUUAUUAUCAAUUUUCGUAUUGAUUGGUCUCUAUGCUGGUGCAGAUGCAGAAUGUGGACAAUAUCACUGCCAUCCAUCAAAAGGUAUUCAAUGUUGUACUGAAACAGAUUUAUGUAGUUCAUUUUCGCGUGAAGGUCAGUGCAUAACUCGUGAGGCACGAAUGGCUCAAACCAUUCCAUUUGGAAAAUAAUUAUAACAAUACAGUGAAAAUUUAAAGAUGUAUUUUUCCAAUUAAUAAAACUUUCAAUACAAAAAAAAUUUUUAAUUGCUCUGAUAGCCAAGUUGGCGAGAAAUUGGCGUGAA
Microplitis mediator is the source of this 384-nucleotide long non-coding RNA. RefSeq lists it as uncharacterized. The transcript has 3 exons. Lineage: Eukaryota; Metazoa; Arthropoda; Insecta; Hymenoptera; Braconidae. The record is from RefSeq and is a predicted model, not a curated record.